CUUACAGAGGUUAUUGGCAUUCUGUCCACCUCCAACAAAAAAGCCAAAGGACCCAUCACCAUUUUAAAAUUUAUUUUUUUUCUUGUUAAUGGAGGUGGGCAUCCUGCCAACAAAGCUCUGUUGG
This 124-nucleotide microRNA precursor is filed under the name Macleaya cordata. RNAcentral describes it as "MIR394 microRNA precursor family". It matches the Rfam family "MIR394 microRNA precursor family". Lineage: Eukaryota; Viridiplantae; Streptophyta; Magnoliopsida; Ranunculales; Papaveraceae. The record is from Rfam by way of RNAcentral.